RNAcentral lists this ribosomal RNA (301 nucleotides) under uncultured bacterium. RNAcentral describes it as "partial 16S ribosomal RNA". It matches the Rfam family "Bacterial small subunit ribosomal RNA", at positions 509 to 809 of the family's 1533-position model. The record is from RNAcentral.
CAGUCGCCGCGGUAAGGCAUAGGAUGCAAGCGUUGUCCGGAAUUAUUGGGCGUAAAGGGCUCGCAGGCGGUUUCUUAAGUCUGAUGUGAAAGCCCCCGGCUCAACCGGGGAGGGUCAUUGGAAACUGGGAAACUUGAGUGCAGAAGAGGAGAGUGGAAUUCCACGUGUAGCGGUGAAAUGCGUAGAGAUGUGGAGGAACACCAGUGGCGAAGGCGACUCUCUGGUCUGUAACUGACGCUGAGGAGCGAAAGCGUGGGGAGCGAACAGGAUUAGAUACCCCUGUAGUCCCUGUCUCUUAUAA